AGUGGCAGACGGGUGAGUAAUGUAUAGGAAUCGACCUAGUAGUACGGAAUAAUUGUUGGAAACGGCAACUAAUACCGUAUACGCCCUACGGGGGAAAGAUUUAUCGCUAUUAGAUGAGCCUAUAUUAGAUUAGCUAGUUGGUAAGGUAAUGGCUUACCAAGGCAAUGAUCUAUAGCUGAUCUGAGAGGAUGAUCAGCCACACUGGAACUGAGAUACGGUCCAGACUCCUACGGGAGGCAGCAGUGGGGAAUAUUGGACAAUGGGCGAAAGCCUGAUCCAGCCAUGCCGCAUGAGUGAAGAAGGCCUUUGGGUUGUAAAGCUCUUUCGGUGAGGAAGAUAAUGACGGUACUCACAGAAGAAGUCCUGGCUAACUCCGUGCCAGCAGCCGCGGUAAUACGGAGAGGGCUAGCGUUAUUCGGAAUUAUUGGGCGUAAAGAGCGCGUANGCUGGUUAGUAAGUUAAAAGUGAAAUCCCAAAGCUCAACUUUGGAAUUGCUUUUAAAACUGCUAACCUAGAGAUUGAAAGAGGAUAGAGGAAUUCCUAGUGUANAGGUGAAAUUCGUAAAUAUUAGGAGGAACACCAGUGGCGAA
Molecule: ribosomal RNA, 590 nt
Filed under: uncultured Wolbachia sp.
Lineage: Bacteria; Pseudomonadati; Pseudomonadota; Alphaproteobacteria; Rickettsiales; Anaplasmataceae
Description: bacterial SSU rRNA
Rfam family: Bacterial small subunit ribosomal RNA
Source: RNAcentral